Molecule: ribosomal RNA, 465 nt
Filed under: Vreelandella stevensii
Lineage: Bacteria; Pseudomonadati; Pseudomonadota; Gammaproteobacteria; Oceanospirillales; Halomonadaceae
Description: partial 16S ribosomal RNA
Rfam family: Bacterial small subunit ribosomal RNA
Source: RNAcentral
CCUACGGGGUGCAGCAGUGGGGAAUAUUGGACAAUGGGCGAAAGCCUGAUCCAGCCAUGCCGCGUGUGUGAAGAAGGCCUUCGGGUUGUAAAGCACUUUCAGUGGGGAAGAAAGCCUUGGGGCUAAUACCCUCGAGGAAGGACAUCACCCACAGAAGAAGCACCGGCUAACUCCGUGCCAGCAGCCGCGGUAAUACGGAGGGUGCGAGCGUUAAUCGGAAUUACUGGGCGGAAAGCGCGCGUAGGCGGUCUGAUAAGCCGGUUGUGAAAGCCCCGGGCUCAACCUGGGAACGGCAUCCGGAACUGUCAGGCUAGAGUGCAGGAGAGGAAGGUAGAAUUCCCGGUGUAGCGGUGAAAUGCGUAGAGAUCGGGAGGAAUACCAGUGGCGAAGGCGGCCUUCUGGACUGACACUGACGCUGAGGUGCGAAAGCGUGGGUAGCAAACAGGAUUAGAUACCCUGGUAGUC